Molecule: ribosomal RNA, 275 nt
Filed under: uncultured bacterium
Lineage: Bacteria
Description: partial 16S ribosomal RNA
Rfam family: Bacterial small subunit ribosomal RNA
Source: RNAcentral
CCUACGGGAGGCUGCAGUCGAGGAUCUUCGGCAAUGCGCGCAAGCGCGACCGAGCGACGCCGCGUGGGCGACGAAGGCCUUCGGGUUGUAAAGCCCUGUCGAGGGGGAGAAAGCCGGCGCGAGCCGGCGGAUCCAUCCCUGGAGGAAGCUCGGGCUAAGUUCGUGCCAGCAGCCGCGGUAAGACGAACCGAGCGAACGUUGUUCGGAAUCACUGGGCUUAAAGGGCGCGUAGGCGGGCUGCCGCGUCCGGGGUGAAAUCCCACGGCUCAACCGUG